This 17-nucleotide transfer RNA is filed under the name Timarcha pimelioides. Its description in RNAcentral is "partial transfer RNA-Leu". The record is from RNAcentral. Lineage: Eukaryota; Metazoa; Arthropoda; Insecta; Coleoptera; Chrysomelidae.
UUAUACUUUUUUUAGAA